GGGGAAUUUUGGACAAUGGGCGAAAGCCUGAUCCAGCCAUUCCGCGUGCAGGAUGAAGGCCCUCGGGUUGUAAACUGCUUUUGUACGGAACGAAACGGCUCUGGUUAAUACCUGGGGCUAAUGACGGUACCGUAAGAAUAAGCACCGGCUAACUACGUGCCAGCAGCCGCGGUAAUACGUAGGGUGCGAGCGUUAAUCGGAAUUACUGGGCGUAAAGCGUGCGCAGGCGGUUAUGUAAGACAGGUGUGAAAUCCCCGGGCUUAACCUGGGAACUGCAUUUGUGACUGCAUAGCUAGAGUACGGUAGAGGGGGAUGGAAUUCCGCGUGUAGCAGUGAAAUGCGUAGAUAUGCGGAGGAACACCGAUGGCGAAGGCAAUCCCCUGGACCUGUACUGACGCUCAUGCACGAAAGCGUGGGGAGCAAAC
Molecule: ribosomal RNA, 425 nt
Filed under: uncultured bacterium
Lineage: Bacteria
Description: bacterial SSU rRNA
Rfam family: Bacterial small subunit ribosomal RNA
Source: RNAcentral